Molecule: long non-coding RNA, 249 nt
Filed under: Selaginella moellendorffii
Lineage: Eukaryota; Viridiplantae; Streptophyta; Lycopodiopsida; Selaginellales; Selaginellaceae
Description: long non-coding RNA (SMOE_LNC000453)
Source: RNAcentral
ACUUUUAAUUGUUCUCCAUUUUGAUGUACUCUAAAACUUUUAAUCACAGGAGUGAUUCUUACAGUCAAUGGUGGACGCUCUCCACACGGAUUGGAGAGAAGUAACUGUUGCACUUGUUCCCAGAGACAUGGGAGAGGAUCUCUUGAAUCAUGUUGUUUGUCUUGUUUGUGCAAUCCUUGGCAUGGAUUUCCUUGGACAUGUCCCGGCUCAUGUUCGCGCUCCUCCCAUCAAACAUAUACUUGAACAGCG